AAUUUUGGACAAUGGGGGCAACCCUGAUCCAGCCAUCCCGCGUGUGCGAUGUAGGCCUUCGGGUUGUAAAGCACUGUUGGCAGGGAAGAAAAGGCUCAGGCUAAUACCCUGUGCUGCUGACGUUACCUGCAGAAUAAGCGCCGGCUAACUACGUUCCAGCAGCCGCGGUAAUACGUAGGUUGCAAGCGUUAAUCGGAAUUACUGGGCGUAAAGCGUGCGUCGGCGGGUUGGCAAGAAAGGUGUGAAACCCCAGAGCUUAACCUUGGAACUGCACUUUUAACUGCCAGGCUAGAGUAUGUCAGAGGGGGGUAGAAUUCCGCGUGUAGCAGUGAAAUGCGUAGAAAUGCGGAGGAAUACCGAUGGCGAAGGCAGCCCCCUGGGAUAAUACUGACGCUCAGGCACGAAAGCGUGGGGAGCAAA
Molecule: ribosomal RNA, 420 nt
Filed under: uncultured bacterium
Lineage: Bacteria
Description: partial 16S ribosomal RNA
Rfam family: Bacterial small subunit ribosomal RNA
Source: RNAcentral